Neofelis nebulosa (Clouded leopard) is the source of this 713-nucleotide long non-coding RNA. RefSeq lists it as uncharacterized. NCBI's taxonomy places the organism in Eukaryota, Metazoa, Chordata, Mammalia, Carnivora, Felidae. The record is from RefSeq and is a predicted model, not a curated record. The transcript is spliced from 2 exons.
GGAGGAGGCGACAUCAGGCAGAGAAGAGGCAUUUUCUGAAGCGAGGAUUGCAGGUGCGAGGGCCCCGUGUGGGUAGGAGAGUCAUGUCAUUUGUGCGAGAGGCAACAAGAGGUAGAGAGUGGCAGGUGUCACAGAGAAAGGGCAAGGGGCUUAGGUUUGGGAUUACAGUAAGACCAAGGGAACCUUUAAAGCCUAUCUCACAGCAAGAGGCCUUGAGAAGGUGAGGGUUCUAAGUUCUUUCAGUCAAAAUUCUUAAAAGGUUCAAGGCUCAAACGGCACGAAAUGCAUGUAGCGAAAAGAUUCCUUCAACCCAGUCCAGCUACCCAGGUCCCUUCCUCCAAGUCAACCAACCUCACGAGCUUCCCAAAUGCCCUUCCGGAGGUAAUAUUCUCUGCGUGCAAAUACAUCUACAGAAAAAGAAUGGCCAGCAGUAGAAUCAUUGAGGCAAAGGAUAUAUGAGCCUUCAACUAGUCCCUGGAAUUCUCCGGGUUUUGCCAUCAAAAAGAAAUCUGGAAAAUGGAGAAUGCCGACUGAUCUCCGAGCCAUAAAUAAAAUCAUACAACCUUGAGACGCUACACCAUUAGAUUGAUUAACACACUUGCUUAGCUGACUUUGUGCACAGAGUCUUCAGCAAUUAUCCUAAUAAAAAGAAGCUUCAUUCUGGAGUUGGGGCCUCAUUCCGACUCGAGUAUGAGGACCUUCACUUAACUGCC